AGACAGACAGACAGACAGACAGACAGGCGGGCACGCACCCGCCGCCAGGCACCGCCCGCUCCCCAUGCGCGGCCCGCCGCGGGGGGCGCUUCCCCGGUGAGGGCGGAUUCCCGCUGCCCGCCCCCUGCCCCUUCCCCGGCGCUCCGGACCGCCGCCUGGCCCCUAAGAUGGCGAGUGGGAUGAACGGCCCGGGCGGCGGCGGCGGCGGCGCGGCGGCCGGGGGCGGCGAGGAGGAGCCGGGCGCCCGCCACACGGGAGGCGGAGCCGCGCCUCAGCAGGAGCCCGGCGUGCCCGGCGCGGCGGCGGCGGCGGCGGCGGGCGAGGGGGAGCCGUCGGCGGGCGAGGGCGGCCGCUGCCCGUCCCCUCAGCCCCACCACCUGCUGCUGCUGCUGCGGCGCUCGCCCAGCGCCUCGCUCUGCCCGGCGCCGGAGGCCGCCCCCGCGGCGGGCCGAGCCGUCCCCGCGGCGGGCCGCGGCGGGCAGCCCCCCCCUCCGCCGCUCCCCGCCGCCGGCCGCGGCGGCGGCGGCGUCGUCCCCCCGCCCGCCGCCGGCGAGGACGUGAGGAAGUGCGGCUACCUGCGGAAGCAGAAGCACGGGCACAAGCGCUACUUCGUCCUGCGGGCCGAGAGCCACCUGGCCCCCGCCCGGCUGGAGUACUACGACAGCGAGAAGAAGUUCAAGAGCAGCUUGCGGGCGGCGGGGGCCGGCGGGGCGGCCUCCCUCUGCUGCCCCCCGCCCAAGCGGGUCAUCCCCCUCUACCAGUGCUUCACCGUCAGCCGGCGGGCCGACGCCAAGCACAAGCACAUCAUCGCCCUGUACACCAAGGACGAGUACUUCGCCAUGCUGGCCGAGAACGAGGCCGAGCAGGAGGCCUGGUACCAGGCGAUCAGCGAGCUCAUGAGCCAGAGCAAGAGGGGCUUCCUGGAGCAGGAGGACCACGCCGAUCAGCAGGUGGACGAGGAUGACGAGCACUACGGGGCCGCCCUGCGGCCCGGCACCGUCUUCAAGGAGGUGUGGCAGGUCAACGUUAAGCCCAAAGGGUUGGGGCAGACCAAAAACCUUACGGGAGUGUAUAGGUUGUGCCUCUCCAGCAAGGCCAUCCACCUCGUCAAGCUGAACUCGGAGGUGCCCUCCGUCCACUUGCAGCUAAUGAACAUUCGCCGCUGCGGGCACUCGGAGAACUUCUUCUUCAUCGAAGUGGGCAGGUCUGCCUCUAUCGGGCCUGGAGAGCUCUGGAUGCAAGUGGACGAUUCGGUGGUUGCCCAGAAUAUGCACGAGACUUUUCUGGAGACCAUGAAAGCUCUAAAGGCCUUUGCAGAGUUCAGGCCCCGCAGCAAGAGCCAGUCUUCUGGUGGUGGUAGCGGUACCAAUCCUAUCUCCUUCAUCACCACUAGGAGGCACCUGGGCAACCUGCCCCCCAGCCAGACCGGCUUGCAGAGACGAUCUAGAACCGAGAGCGUUGCCGGAGGGACUCCUCCGACCACCAAAAGCAGCAACUCCUAUCGCUUCAGAACCUCCAGCGAAGGAGAAGGAACCAUGACUAGACCUUUUAGGUCGGUGACCGGGAGCCUCAUCCACCUGAAUACUGCAAGGAUGAAUUUGGGCCGGCAAGAAGGGAGCGGAAGGUAUGUGAGAGCCGCUUUCAGCUCUUCCUAUCACACCAGGUCUGCUUCGCUGCCUGUUUCUCAUUUUCCCUCCACUACAAGUCCCAUCAGUGUUUCUUCCAGUAGCGGCCAUGGCUCUGCUUCGGACAUGUUGACCAGGCCUUCUAGCUCAUCCGUUUGUGGUUCCCCAAGCGACGGGGGAUUUAUCUCUUCUGAUGAAUAUGGCUCCAGCCCUGGAGAUUUCAGGUACUUUCGGGUCAGGAGUAAUACGCCCGAUUCCCUGGGAAACACGCCGCCUAUCAGAGAGGAGAACUGUCUGAGUGAGUACAUGUCCAUGAGUAAGCAACAGGCAGAUGAUAGUUCAAGAGAUGAUUAUAUGGAGGCUGAAAAGUGUUUCAGGAAAAGAACUUACUCUCUAACGAAACCAACUUCUGUAGCAGUGCAGCAGAAGACGACACAAACUACAGCUUCGUUAGAUGAAGAUUCCACAGGAAAUCAUGGACGAUUACUUUACUCUGAAACACCAAAAUUGAGAGAUAACCAUGAAUCGGAGUACAGUGACACUAACCUUGAUUCCAUGUGUAACCAAAGCAGGAGUAAAGCCAGGGAUGAUGGGUACAUGCCAAUGAUGCCAGGAGUUGCGUCUUCUCUCUCCGGCAACAGCGAUUAUCUGCCAAUGACUCCUAAAAGUAUGUCUGUUCCGAAACAGAUUAACAAUUCAUGGUCACCGUCUCAGGUUGACUCCAGAGGAUAUAUGAUGAUGUUUCCAAAGGCUAGCUCUUCACCUGUACGAAGUCCUUUAACUGGAUUUAUUUCUAAAGGAGGUAACGAGAAGAUCAUAAACAAUGAGUAUAUGGAUAUGUCACCUGGUAAUUCAGCUCCAAAGCACCCCGGCGAUUCGAAUUACAUUCACACCGCUUCUGUUUCCAAAGGUUUUAGUUCGUAUUUUUCUUUGCCCCGAAGCUUCAAGGCGUUAUCAGGACAGAAUGGUGACCACAGUGAAUAUGUUCCAAUGUCUUCACCUGGAAAACUCUUGUACGGUGGACCAGAAAAUGUAAAAGGGGUCAACAGUGAGGCUCUGGCUAAUGGCAUCUCUAAAUUGCCAGCGGUGAAAGGUUCAGAUGAAGGACUUGUGCAGAACAGGGCUGCUAGGCCCACAAGACUACCCCUAGGUACAAGAGGGAGUAAUACUAUCCCAAGAAUGUAUGAUCGCACGGUUCCGCCUGAGCCAGCGAGUCCCGGUGAAUACAUAAAUAUUGAUUUCAAUGAAAAAGCGAGUAAUACACCGUAUUCCUUAUCUGCAGAAGGAUCACCAUCAUCUCUAGGCUCAAGUAGUGACCACAGACAGUCCCCGCUUUCUGAUUACAUGAGUGUUGACUUGGAUGUACAGUCACCGAAAGUAGCGAAGGAACUGUCUAACUCCCUAACAGAUAUUUCAAUUUAUGCAAGCUCCAGUAUUCCUAGAAACCAACCAAAUCCUGACUACGCUAGGCUUUCAUUUGGUACAGCUUGUGUUAGCACUGCAAGUAACAGGACUGAUGACUACACGGAGAUGACAUUCAACAUGGCAGCAACACCGCCUCGGCCAUUUGCUGCCGAAUCCGACGAUGGUGUAAAGAUUGAUAGCCCUUCUUCCAUAGUUAACAGACUGUGCAUUGUUGAUCGAUACGCUAGUAGCAGUAGCUUCUCUGUUCCUAGCUCUGAACCUCCUAUGGGACCGAAAGUGAUUCGAGCCGAUCCUCAAGGCAGGAGGAGACACAGUUCUGAAACGUUCUCUUCAGCUGGGACCGUGACGACCUCCUCCUCAUUCUUUACUGAUAGUAGCAAAAGACACAGCUCUGCCUCAUUUGACAAUGUUUGGUUAAAACCGGAUGAAAACAUUUCUGAUGGUCAGGAAAGCAAAAUGUCCAGGGAUACCUCAACUGGAUUUCAGAAUGGCUUAAACUACAUUGCUCUGAAUUUACGUGAUGAUCCUAUAAGCUGUGAGGCAAGUACUACAGCGCCAACUUGCCAUCUCCAAAAUGGUACUUCAGGUUUGGACAGUGGAGCUUACGUAAGCAUAGAUUUCAGCAGAUCCGAUGGUCUGAAGUGUAACGCUGCGAGAAAAGAGGGAUCUGCCUUUCGCGUAGCAGGUGAGGAAUGCCUGGAAUAGAGGAAGAGCAGGCUCUGAGGGCUGUCUUCCAGGUCUGAAACUUCGGAGAGAAGGCUGCUAGCUUUCAAGUGAUCGCUGGUCUGACCCAACUUAAGACUGACUGCAUUGCCAUGGAAACCAUUGUUGGAAGAGAAGACUUUUCUGCUGGUAACUCCAGAAACUGUGUGGUGCUUUUGGAAGCAAAGCUCAGCUCCAGCCGGCUACUUUCAUUUCCACCAGCACGGACAUAGACACACAUCCUUUUAAUUAAUUUUUUCAUAAACAUCAGCUCUCUACAGUUGAAUUAAUUUGAAUGGAGUUUUUUUUCAUAGCUGUGCUUUGGUGAUGGAAUUUGGUCUUUCAUGUCCUAUCUAUUUGGGAGGCAGUGUGAAUGCUAAUAGGAGAUCCCUGUAUGCCCCUUUCUUCCUCCUGCCUCUCCCUUUUUUUUUUUUUUUUUUUUUAAUUUAUAUUCUGAGAAGUCAAAGCUGGUUUCUGAUUGUCUGUUUAACAUGGGUUUUGCUUCUCUGGUACAUUAACAAGUGGCUAGCUUAAAACAUGUAUUGUUUAGAAAUAUUUUGGCAGUUCAGGAUUUUUUUCGGGUGGCUGGGUGGAAGGAGGGGAGGAGAGGUGCACAUUAGCUUGAGGUGUGAACCCGUGGGACUGAACGGGUCUGAGAAGGAGAGACCUCUUCUGCCUUCUUUUUUUUCUUCUCUUUUUUUUAAGGUUUUGCUUUUAUGGUACAAGAGGUAUUUCUUGAUCAUAGGCUAGAGUAUUUUAAAUCAAAUGUCUGUCAGAGCUUAAACUGAAUUUUUUUUUUUUUUUUUUUUUGCUCAGAAUUUUGGUAUGUACAAAGUAGGAUUAAUGGGCUGGUUGUCUUGUAGAUUGUUUUUGUUCUUACCCUCAAGAUACUUGUUUAUAAAUACGAAUUGUGUAAAAUGAGGUUUUUGUUCAUGCAUUCAAAUGGAGAACUGCAGAGUCGUAUCCAGCGUUUGUGACUUCUGCGUUAUAGUUGUCAGCUGUAGCUUUUUAAAGGGAAACCACCCUAAUUGAUCUUACUUUCAACCAAAGUCCCAUUUUUAAUUUGGGACUAUUUUUGUUCUUUCUUCCUGGCAUAAUGGGGAAAAAAGUAAAAUGUUGGCUCAUCAGUUGUCUUUAUCCCACUUACAGAAAUGUGAACGAUGACUAUUUGACAUUUUUAAAAAAAGCCCUGAUUUUUCUACAAUUUAAGUGCUUCACUCUUGUACUGAAUUUUUUUUUUGGUUGAAAUGAGUUUAGGUUUUUAACACUGCUAUGAACUUAAAGAGCAUGACACUAGUCAUUGGUACAUGCAAUGUAUAAUAAAAGGCACUGACGAUUGAUAAAGGGUUUAGAAGUGGUACACAAAUCCUCAUGCUGUACUGCACCACACAGCUGGUAAUCCUCUACAUUGUAUAUUGUACAACUGAUUUGUCAGGCUGCCUCACCUCUAACAUACAACCUUGAAAUUGCUGGUACAGUUUGUAUAACAAAUUAGACACUGUCAACCUGGAUUGUUCGGUGAUAUGUACCCAAAUCUAUUUUUGAGUAGUAUUAAAACGUACAUGUCACUAAAAUAUGAAGACUUUUUUUUUUUUUUUGGAAACAUGGUACCAAUCAGUUUACGCAGUGUCUAGUGACAGGAAAAACUGUUGCUACAGGGUUUAAAAGCACAGACUUGUUUUUGAUUCUGGAAGAGAAGUUUAAGUUGGUACAGUUACUUCUUGCUGCUAAACAUACACUAAUUAAAAAUACGACCACUCUUACAGACCAUGAUACUGUCUUGCCAUAUAGCUUUUGUUUGGUCUCGUAAAUUAAUAAUGCAAUAUGUAGACAGCUUUUUAUAAAGCUUUACAUCUUUUCUAAGAAAUCAAAAUUUGGAUGAAGAUAGUUCUAAACAUUUAAUGUGAAAGGAAAAGGUUGUUUUGAAGAAAUUUUACACGCUUAUUUCAUAUUAGAUCCCUGAGGCUGCCAUUGUACAAUAUACAGCACUGAUUUAAUAAAUGCUGAAUAAAUAAGUAAAUGGGUAACCUCAAGUGUAGUGGUACAAAUACUAAUAGGUACGGCAUAAUAAAUAUGCAAUCUUUUUGAAUCUCUUAGUUUACAGCAACUAAUUUAUUCAGUAUUGUGCUGGAAGAACAUUUUCAGAUGAUGUAAAACAUAUCACUAUAUAUACUACCUUCCAGCUACCCGUUUAUGCUGCUGUAUAGUACAAAAAUACCAAUGAUAGAACAAUGUUUGUCCUGUAAAUUUAAUUUGAUAUUGGACAGUUAUUGUCUGUACAAACUAAAACAUAUAUGGUUGAAACUGUUCAUUAUAUUUGCUAUUUCUGCUUCACAGAUCUGUUUUAAAGUCGAGCUGAUUGAUCUGGCUUUGUCUUCCAUUGUAAAUAUUGUUAUGUUGUUUUCUUUGUAAAACACAUCGCGUUUGCGGUUUUGGGAGACUGGCUUGAAGCUCUGUAUAGUGUUUAUAUUUAUCUGACUUGGCUUUCCAUAGAGCUACUUGCAGUAAAUACGUGUUCAUGUA
RNA transcript from Harpia harpyja (harpy eagle), 6275 nucleotides. It is a transcript of the gene named insulin receptor substrate 4, with no coding region annotated. Lineage: Eukaryota; Metazoa; Chordata; Aves; Accipitriformes; Accipitridae. The transcript has 3 exons. The record is from RefSeq and is a predicted model, not a curated record.